This 73-nucleotide transfer RNA is filed under the name Ailuropoda melanoleuca (giant panda). It matches the Rfam family "tRNA". Rfam says of the family: Transfer RNA (tRNA) molecules are approximately 80 nucleotides in length. Lineage: Eukaryota; Metazoa; Chordata; Mammalia; Carnivora; Ursidae. The record is from Rfam by way of RNAcentral.
GCCUGGCUGGCUCAGUUGGCAGAGCAUGGGGCUCUUGAUCUUAGGGUUGUGAGUUUGAGCCCCACGUUGGGUA